This 421-nucleotide ribosomal RNA is filed under the name uncultured Adhaeribacter sp. RNAcentral describes it as "bacterial SSU rRNA". It matches the Rfam family "Bacterial small subunit ribosomal RNA", at positions 355 to 774 of the family's 1533-position model. Lineage: Bacteria; Pseudomonadati; Bacteroidota; Cytophagia; Cytophagales; Hymenobacteraceae. The record is from RNAcentral.
UAGGGAAUAUUGGGCAAUGGACGCAAGUCUGACCCAGCCAUGCCGCGUGCAGGAUGAAGGCCUUCUGGGUUGUAAACUGCUUUUAUCUGGGAAGAAAACACCCCUGCGGGGGGAACUGACGGUACCAGAUGAAUAAGCACCGGCUAACUCCGUGCCAGCAGCCGCGGUAAUACGGAGGGUGCAAGCGUUGUCCGGAUUUAUUGGGUUUAAAGGGUGCGUAGGCGGCCCGGUAAGUCAGUGGUGAAAGCCCAUCGCUCAACGAUGGAACUGCCAUUGAUACUGCCGGGCUUGAGUACAGACGAGGUAGGCGGAAUUGAUAGUGUAGCGGUGAAAUGCAUAGAUACUAUCAAGAACACCGAUUGCGUAGGCAGCUUACUAGGCUGUAACUGACGCUGAGGCACGAAAGCGUGGGGAGCGAACA